Molecule: ribosomal RNA, 1447 nt
Filed under: uncultured organism
Description: SSU rRNA
Rfam family: Bacterial small subunit ribosomal RNA
Source: RNAcentral
GAACGCUAGCGACAGGCUUAACACAUGCAAGUCGAGGGGCAGCACAGGUAGCAAUACCGGGUGGCGACCGGCGCACGGGUGAGUAACGCGUAUGCAACUUGCCUAUCAGAGGGGGAUAACCCGGCGAAAGUCGGACUAAUACCGCAUGAAGCAGGGGCCCCGCAUGGGGAUAUUUGCUAAAGAUUCAUCGCUGAUAGAUAGGCAUGCGUUCCAUUAGGCAGUUGGCGGGGUAACGGCCCACCAAACCGACGAUGGAUAGGGGUUCUGAGAGGAAGGUCCCCCACAUUGGUACUGAGACACGGACCAAACUCCUACGGGAGGCAGCAGUGAGGAAUAUUGGUCAAUGGCCGAGAGGCUGAACCAGCCAAGUCGCGUGAGGGAUGAAGGUUCUAUGGAUCGUAAACCUCUUUUAUAAGGGAAUAAAGUGCGGGACGUGUCCCGUUUUGUAUGUACCUUAUGAAUAAGGAUCGGCUAACUCCGUGCCAGCAGCCGCGGUAAUACGGAGGAUCCGAGCGUUAUCCGGAUUUAUUGGGUUUAAAGGGUGCGUAGGCGGCCUUUUAAGUCAGCGGUGAAAGUCUGUGGCUCAACCAUAGAAUUGCCGUUGAAACUGGGGGGCUUGAGUAUGUUUGAGGCAGGCGGAAUGCGUGGUGUAGCGGUGAAAUGCAUAGAUAUCACGCAGAACCCCGAUUGCGAAGGCAGCCUGCCAAGCCAUUACUGACGCUGAUGCACGAAAGCGUGGGGAUCAAACAGGAUUAGAUACCCUGGUAGUCCACGCAGUAAACGAUGAUCACUAGCUGUUUGCGAUACACUGUAAGCGGCACAGCGAAAGCGUUAAGUGAUCCACCUGGGGAGUACGCCGGCAACGGUGAAACUCAAAGGAAUUGACGGGGGCCCGCACAAGCGGAGGAACAUGUGGUUUAAUUCGAUGAUACGCGAGGAACCUUACCCGGGUUUGAACGCAUUCGGACCGAGGUGGAAACACCUUUUCUAGCAAUAGCCGUUUGCGAGGUGCUGCAUGGUUGUCGUCAGCUCGUGCCGUGAGGUGUCGGCUUAAGUGCCAUAACGAGCGCAACCCUUGCCACUAGUUACUAACAGGUAAAGCUGAGGACUCUGGUGGGACUGCCAGCGUAAGCUGCGAGGAAGGCGGGGAUGACGUCAAAUCAGCACGGCCCUUACAUCCGGGGCGACACACGUGUUACAAUGGCGUGGACAAAGGGAGGCCACCUGGCGACAGGGAGCGAAUCCCCAAACCACGUCUCAGUUCGGAUCGGAGUCUGCAACCCGACUCCGUGAAGCUGGAUUCGCUAGUAAUCGCGCAUCAGCCAUGGCGCGGUGAAUACGUUCCCGGGCCUUGUACACACCGCCCGUCAAGCCAUGGGAGCCGGGGGUACCUGAAGUCCGUAACCGAAAGGAUCGGCCUAGGGUAAAACUGGUGACUGGGGCUAAG